AGACUUUGAUCCUGGCUCAGAUUGAACGCUGGCGGCAUGCUUUACACAUGCAAGUCGAACGGCAGCGGGGGCUUCGGCCUGCCGGCGAGUGGCGAACGGGUGAGUAAUACAUCGGAACGUGUCCUUAAGUGGGGAAUAACGCAUCGAAAGAUGUGCUAAUACCGCAUAUCUCUCAGGAGGAAAGCAGGGGAUCGCAAGACCUUGCGCUAAAGGAGCGGCCGAUGUCUGAUUAGCUAGUUGGUGGGGUAAAGGCCUACCAAGGCAACGAUCAGUAGCUGGUCUGAGAGGACGAUCAGCCACACUGGGACUGAGACACGGCCCAGACUCCUACGGGAGGCAGCAGUGGGGAAUUUUGGACAAUGGGCGAAAGCCUGAUCCAGCCAUGCCGCGUGAGUGAAGAAGGCCUUCGGGUUGUAAAGCUCUUUUAGUUGGAAAGAAAGAAUUAUAGUUAAUAGCUAUAAUUUAUGACGGUACCAACAGAAAAAGCACCGGCUAACUACGUGCCAGCAGCCGCGGUAAUACGUAGGGUGCGAGCGUUAAUCGGAAUUACUGGGCGUAAAGGGUGCGCAGGCGGCCAUGCAAGUCAGAUGUGAAAGCCCCGGGCUUAACCUGGGAAUUGCGUUUGAAACUGCAAGGCUAGAGUGCAACA
Molecule: ribosomal RNA, 649 nt
Filed under: uncultured beta proteobacterium
Lineage: Bacteria; Pseudomonadati; Pseudomonadota; Betaproteobacteria
Description: bacterial SSU rRNA
Rfam family: Bacterial small subunit ribosomal RNA
Source: RNAcentral